UGGGGAAUUUUGGACAAUGGGCGAAAGCCUGAUCCAGCAAUGCCGCGUGUGUGAAGAAGGCCUUCGGGUUGUAAAGCACUUUUGUCCGGAAAGAAAUCCUUGGCUCUAAUACAGUCGGGGGAUGACGGUACCGGAAGAAUAAGCACCGGCUAACUACGUGCCAGCAGCCGCGGUAAUACGUAGGGUGCAAGCGUUAAUCGGAAUUACUGGGCGUAAAGCGUGCGCAGGCGGUUUGCUAAGACCGAUGUGAAAUCCCCGGGCUCAACCUGGGAACUGCAUUGGUGACUGGCAGGCUAGAGUAUGGCAGAGGGGGGUAGAAUUCCACGUGUAGCAGUGAAAUGCGUAGAGAUGCGGAGGAAUACCGAUGGCGAAGGCAGCCCCCUGGGCCAAUACUGACGCUCAUGCACGAAAGCGUGGGGAGCAAACAGGAUUAGAUACCCUGGUAGUCCACGCCCUAAACGAUGUCAACUAGUUGUUGGGGAUUCAUUUCCUUAGUAACGUAGCUAACGCGUGAAGUUGACCGCCUGGGGAGUACGGUCGCAAGAUUAAAACUUAAAUGAAUUGACGGGGUCAUAGCUGUUUCCU
RNAcentral lists this ribosomal RNA (585 nucleotides) under uncultured bacterium. RNAcentral describes it as "partial 16S ribosomal RNA". It matches the Rfam family "Bacterial small subunit ribosomal RNA", at positions 355 to 1375 of the family's 1533-position model. The record is from RNAcentral.